Molecule: RNase P RNA, 303 nt
Filed under: Zhouia spongiae
Lineage: Bacteria; Pseudomonadati; Bacteroidota; Flavobacteriia; Flavobacteriales; Flavobacteriaceae
Description: RNase P RNA component class A
Rfam family: Bacterial RNase P class A
About the family: Ribonuclease P (RNase P) is a ubiquitous endoribonuclease, found in archaea, bacteria and eukarya as well as chloroplasts and mitochondria. Its best characterised activity is the generation of mature 5'-ends of tRNAs by cleaving the 5'-leader elements of precursor-tRNAs.
Source: RNAcentral
AGCACAGACUAUCUUAUCGCUGCCCGUUUUAACGGGGGGAGGAAAGUCCGGACACCAUAGCGCGGCAUAGCGGAUAACAUCCGUCGUUCGUUUGUAACGGAUAGGACAAGUGCAACAGAAAGAAUGUACAGGUAAGGCUGUAGUGAAAUCAGGUAAACUCUAUGUGGUGCAACGCCAAGUAAACCAGUGUUUGAGGGUUGCGCGCCCGAUGUUGGAGGGUAGGCGGUUUGAGCUUAUUGGUAACAAUAAGUCCAGAUAAAUGAUAAGACUCGACAGAAUCCGGCUUACAGGUCUGUAUUUUUU